UACGUAGGGAGCAAGCGUUAUCCGGAUUUAUUGGGUGUAAAGGGUGCGUAGACGGGAAUGCAAGUUAGUUGUGAAAUCCCUCGGCUUAACUGAGGAACUGCAACUAAAACUACAUUUCUUGAGUGCUGGAGAGGAAAGUGGAAUUCCUAGUGUAGCGGUGAAAUGCGUAGAUAUUAGGAGGAACACCAGUGGCGAAGGCGACUUUCUGGACAGUAACUGACGUUGAGGCACGAAAGUGUGGGGAGCAAACAGG
Molecule: ribosomal RNA, 253 nt
Filed under: uncultured bacterium
Lineage: Bacteria
Description: partial 16S ribosomal RNA
Rfam family: Bacterial small subunit ribosomal RNA
Source: RNAcentral